UUCGUUCUGGCUCAGGUUGAACGCUGGCGGGAUGCUUACACGCUGAGUCGACGCUUCCGGCGGACUUCCGAUCUGGUGGCGGUGGCGAACUGGUUGAUAAUGCUCAUCGGAACGUGCCUGACGAGGAUAACUGCGGCGUGGCUAAUACCACAUACGCUUGCUGGAAAGCGGGGGACCUUCGGGCCUCGCACUAUUAGAGCGGCCAAAUGUCGGAUUAUUUAGCGAUUGGUGCAGGGUAACGGCUCCGCAGGCGACGUCCGUAGCUGGUUUGAGAGGACGACCAGCCACACACUGGGACUGAGACGGCCCGAACUCCUACAGGAAGGCCAACGAUGCCUGAUUUUGGACAAUGGAAACCUGAUCCAGCCAUCCCGCGUGUGCGAUAGAGAACCUUCAGUUUGUAAAGCACUUUUGGCAGGAAAAAACGGCACGGAUAAUACCCCGUGCAACUGACAGUACCUACAGAAUAAGCACCGGCUAACUACGUGCCAGCAGCCGCGGUAAUACGUAGAUUUUCAGCGUUAAUCAGGUCUGGGCGUAAAGCGUGCGCAGGCGGUUCAGAAGAAAAUCGAAAUCCCAGAGCUUAACUUUGGAACUGCAUUUUUAACUACCGAGCUGAAGAAUUGUGUCAGAGGGAGGUGGAAUUCCGCGAUGUCAGCAGUGAAAUGCGUAGAUAUGCGGAGGAACACCAGUGAUGGCGAAAGCGGCAAUCCUGGAUAACACUGACGCUCAUGCACGAAAGCGUGGGAGCAAGCAGGAUUAGAAUACCCUGGUAGUCCACGCCCUAAACGAUGUCAACUAGCUGUUGGGGCCUUCGGGCCUUGGUAGCGCAGCUAACGCGUGAAGUUGACCGCACCAAAGUACGGUCGCAAGGUUAAACUCGAAGGAAUUGACGGGGUUACACAAGCGGUGGAUGAUGUGGAUUAGUUGGUACAACGCGAAACCUUACCCUACCCUUGACAUGUCUGAUCCAGAGAUUUGAGUAUAUAAGAGAACCGGAACACAGGUGCUGCAUGGCUGUCGAUGGCUCAAAUGUGUGAGAUGUUGGGUUAAGUCCCGCAACAGGCGCAACCCUUAUCAUUAGUUGCACCGAAAGGGCAUCUAAUGGGCUUCGCCGAUGACUCAAACCGGGAAAGGUGAGGACGGCGUCAAAUCCUCCUUAGCCUUCAUAUGGGUAGGGCUUCACGUCAUGGUGGGACAGAGGGUCGCCAACCCGCAGGGAAUUAAUCCAGAAACCCGAUCGUAGUCCGGAUCGCAGUCUGCAACUCGAGCUGCGUGAGUCGGAAUCGCUGUCAAUGCUGGAUCGGCAUGUCGCGGUGAAUACGUUCCCGGGUCUUGUACACACCGCCCGUCACACCAUGGGGAGUGGGUUUUACCAAGUAGUUAGCCUAACUUCAUGGGCGAUUACCACGGUAGGAUUCAUGACUGGGGUAAAGUCGCUAUGGU
This 1446-nucleotide ribosomal RNA is filed under the name uncultured Bordetella sp. RNAcentral describes it as "partial 16S-23S ribosomal RNA intergenic spacer". It matches the Rfam family "Bacterial small subunit ribosomal RNA". The record is from RNAcentral. Lineage: Bacteria; Pseudomonadati; Pseudomonadota; Betaproteobacteria; Burkholderiales; Alcaligenaceae.